RNAcentral lists this long non-coding RNA (320 nucleotides) under Numida meleagris (helmeted guineafowl). Its description in RNAcentral is "lncRNA (ENSNMEG00000013095.1)". The record is from RNAcentral. Lineage: Eukaryota; Metazoa; Chordata; Aves; Galliformes; Numididae.
UAAACAAAACUGAGACCUGUGACCUUCAAGGAUGCUGAUGUGUAAUGCUGUAAGCUGACUGGAUUGGUGGAAAAAAGAAAAAGGAGACUCAGUCAUAGAAACAGCUGCUUCUUUCAUACAAGACUUGCCCGGGAGCAAAUCAAUGCAUUUAAUUUGAUUCUGGAACUAGCUGCACAGUUAAUAAUGCCUCAAGACUAAGGUUAUGCAAGCUAGUUAUAAGAGAAGAGGCCCAACCCUGGUGCUGUUCUGAGAAGCUGCAAAAAUAAGGUGUAGAAGUACCCCAAAGACUACGCUGCAUGUCGUCAUAGUCCUACAAGAUA